Drosophila innubila is the source of this 248-nucleotide long non-coding RNA. RefSeq lists it as uncharacterized. The record is from RefSeq and is a predicted model, not a curated record. The transcript is spliced from 2 exons. NCBI's taxonomy places the organism in Eukaryota, Metazoa, Arthropoda, Insecta, Diptera, Drosophilidae.
CAAGUCUUUAUAGAAGAAUCAACAAUCAUGCGGCUAUUCUUCUUUGCCACUAUCCUUGUGAUCGGUUUCCUGGCAUUGGCCCGUGAACCUGAUAUUUCUAUUCACACAUGCAAUUAUUGUAUCAAUCAUGGAUAGGUGUCCUGGGCUCUGCUGAAAAGCUAGCAAAUCUAAAUAUUUAAAAAUUCGAAAUGUCGCUUAAUUCAUUGAGGUGACUAAGUAUACACUAAUAAAUAUCGUCAAUAAUUGAA